GGGCACCACCAGGAGUGGAGCCUGCGGCUUAAUUUGACCCAACACGGGAAACCUCACCCGGCCCGGACACGGAAAGGAUUGACAGAUUGAUAGCUCUUUCUCGAUUCUGUGGGUGGUGGUGCAUGGCCGUUCUUAGUUGGUGGAGCGAUUUGUCUGGUUAAUUCCGAUAACGAACGAGACUCCUCCAUGCUAAAUAGUUACGCGGCCCCCGGUGGUCGGCGUUUGAACUUCUUAGAGGCACAAGAGGCGUUUAGCCACGCGAGAUGGAGCAAUAACAGGUCUGUGAUGCCCUUAGAUGUCCGGGGCUGCACGCGCGCCACAAUGGGUGGAUCAGCGUGUGUCUACUCUGCGCCGACAGGCGCGGGUAACCCGCUGAACCCCACUCGUGAUUGGGACUGGGGAUUGAAACUAUUUCCCAUCAACGAGGAAUUCCCAGUAAGCGCGGGUCAUAAGCUCGCGUUGAUUAAGUCCCUGCCCUUUGUACACACCGCCCGUCGCUACUACCGAUUGGAUGGUUUAGUGAGGUCC
RNAcentral lists this ribosomal RNA (528 nucleotides) under Stenotrophomonas maltophilia. RNAcentral describes it as "SSU rRNA". It matches the Rfam family "Eukaryotic small subunit ribosomal RNA", at positions 1162 to 1709 of the family's 1831-position model. The record is from RNAcentral. Lineage: Bacteria; Pseudomonadati; Pseudomonadota; Gammaproteobacteria; Lysobacterales; Lysobacteraceae.